This 90-nucleotide non-coding RNA is filed under the name Pseudomonas sp. NFACC15-1. Lineage: Bacteria; Pseudomonadati; Pseudomonadota; Gammaproteobacteria; Pseudomonadales; Pseudomonadaceae. The record is from RNAcentral. RNAcentral also lists the same sequence under 2 other names.
UGUGGGAGCGAGCUUGCUCGCGAUAGCGCCGGAUCAGCCAACCUUGAUGUUGACUGAUGCACCGCCAUCGCGAGCAAGCUCGCUCCCACA